AUGCAAGUCGUACGAGGGUUUUUAACUUUAGUGGCGGACGGGUGAGUAACACGUGAGAAUUUGCCUUUAGGAGGGGGAUAACAAUCGGAAACGAAUGCUAAUACCCCAUAUGCUUUUGAGUGAAAUGGAUUUAUCCGCCUAAAGAGAAGCUCGCGGCUGAUUAGCUUGUUGGUAAGGUAAGAGCUUACCAAGGCGACGAUCAGUAUCUGGUUUGAGAGGACGAUCAGACACACUGGAACUGAGACACGGUCCAGACUCCUACGGGAGGCAGCAGUGGGGAAUUUUCCGCAAUGGGCGAAAGCCUGACGGAGCAAUACCGCGUGAGGGAAGACUGCCUAUGGGUUGUAAACCUCUUUUUUCAGGGAGGAAUAAAUUGACGUGUACCUGAAGAAUAAGCAUCGGCUAACUCCGUGCCAGCAGCCGCGGUAAGACGGAGGAUGCAAGUGUUAUCCGGAAUCACUGGGCGUAAAGCGUCUGUAGGUGGUUUAAUAAGUCAACUGUUAAAUCUUGAGGCUCAACUUCAAAAUCGCAGUCGAAACUAUUAGACUAGAGUAUAGUAGAGGUAAAGGGAAUUUCCAGUGGAGCGGUGAAAUGCGUAGAUAUUGGAAAGAACACCAAUGGCGAAAGCACUUUACUGGGCUAUUACUAACACUCAGAGACGAAAGCUAGGGUAGCAAAUGGGAUUAGAUACUCCAGUAGUCCUAGCCGUAAACUAUGGAUACUAGAUGUUG
RNAcentral lists this ribosomal RNA (731 nucleotides) under uncultured cyanobacterium. RNAcentral's name for it is "bacterial SSU rRNA". It matches the Rfam family "Bacterial small subunit ribosomal RNA", at positions 55 to 825 of the family's 1533-position model. The record is from RNAcentral. Lineage: Bacteria; Bacillati; Cyanobacteriota.